GCUGCUAGGACUGAUGAAAAGCUGUGUUUGUAGCUUAGGAAUAAACAUGGAGAAGGAAAAUACAGAAGUGUGCAGAUGGAGCGGAUAUUUGGACUAAUCCAGGUUCAGCCCUCUGUGGUUUUUGCUGGCUGUGGAAUUGGGGGUUAGCAGUCCUGACAGCACUAAAUCCCUUUUUAUCUCUUCUUCCUUUUGUUGUGGAUUUGCAGUGCCAUAGUGUCCAAGUGGGGCAGGAUCCAGGUGCUGUGGGAUGCCUCAAGUGGAGCUCUAAGCCAGCAAAGGACUUGAAUCAUGGUGGUGUUCACCUCAGGACAAGUUUGGUAUUCACAGAGCGGCGUCAGCCCUGCGCAGAGCCCGGGUGGUGCUGAGUGUUGGGGAGAUCCUGCAGACCUGCUGCUUAAACCACACUGAUAAAGUCUCCAGGCCUCUUCCUCGGGGAGGAAGCUUUUCUCCUGUAUGACACAAUACCUCAGCUGGUGUUUGCACUGAGACCAAAGUGUGGGUCUGGACCCCUUGGAGACUGAAAUGAGGGAAUUUAUCAGCAGAUAGCAGUUUUUCCUCCAGGAGUUUGAGAGAUCCCCAGGAUUUGUUAUUCCCAGAGCUGGCACUGGCCUCUUCAGGAUCUGCAGGUCUCUUGACUGUGCCCUUCCCCAAGCACCUCUGCAGCUGAGCAGCAUCAGUAGUGAACAGGAAUCAAUGAAUUCCAGAUGAGAGCUCUGCAUGCCCAAAGUGUUUUUUUUCUGAAGAAGAAUAAGAAUGGAUGGGGCUUGGAACAACCUGGUGUAGUGGAAGCUGUCCAGGCUGCAUUAAACAUACCCAACUGAAUGCCAAAGGGCUCCUUUGCACUGCAAAACCCACGGACCUUAACAUUUCCAGGAAAGGAGCAGCUCCUAUGGCACUGAGCUGGGCUCUGUCUCACCCUAAAUGUAUGGGUUUGUAAGCUGGGAUGGCCUUGGGAAGGAGAUCUCCACAGCUGAUGAUGGGAAUGCUGUGGGAAGGGAGGGUGUGGAGCAGCUGGGGAAAUUGCGAUGGCCUGCACAUCCUGGUCCUGUUGCAGACAGACUGGGACAGUCCUCAGGAAGGGGAGGGUGAGGGUGCCGGACAGGGCUGUGCAGCAGAAGGGAGCAGCUCGGUGCCUGGCAUGCCUCCUUCUGCAGGAGCAGAUCUGGGGUCAUGCUUUGUGUCCCUCCUUUUGGCUCCCACCGGGUGCAGGAGUCUGCUGGGGUGGCCCAGAGCUGAGCCCUCCCAGCUGGUGCCACUGGGGCUGCACAGCUCCUUUGUCACAUCAAACACAGUCCCCGGGCACCCAGCCAGGGGUCACCCCUCUGCACAGGCCCUGGGUGCCAGCAUUCCCACCCAGCCCUUGGGAAGGGACACCUGCUUCCCCUGGGCAUCCCUGCCAUGGUGCAGCUGCCAGCCUGGGGACUGUCCCCACGCCUGGGGCCGUGUCCCUUCCCUCUGAGCCCCCUCCAGCUGUGGGCAAAGGGGCUGGGCACUGCUGUCGGUGCCAGCUGGGAAGGAAGGGGGAGGCUGCUGUGUGCUCGUGGGAAUUUGGAGAGCUUUAGAGCCCUCUCCCCCUGAGCUGUUUGUGCAAAGCAUCUGCCUGGCCCAGGCACCGGGCUGGGAUCUGGGGGAGCUGCAAAGACACAGCCAUGGGUGAUGGCAGGUAACUCCACAGGCUUUUCCUGAGGGAUGCGCUGCUUGGGAUGUCACCAAGGAUGUGAUUGCAAGCUUUGCUCCAAACUCUGCUCCAAAUGCAGUUUUCCCACCACCCAGUGGAUGUGGAGCAGAGGGAGGCUGUGGGGCUCUCCAGGUGGGAUUGCUGCCACAUGAACACCCCCAUCCUUGUUCUCAGCCUUCUCCCUCAGUGUUAUCCCCACGUCCUGCCUGUGCUGGCUGCACUGCUCAGCUCCUGACAGAAGGCUGGGAAGAUGGGCAGCUCUCCCCCAGCAGAUGGGGAGGUGUUGGUUGUCACCCCAUUUUUAUCACCCUCUACACAGCCAGCAGCCACUCCCUAUCUCUGUUCCCAGCUCUGGGGCUGGAGAAACCUGUCUGUGCCACCCUUGGCAGCUCUGUGACCCCGCUGUGCCCGCCUGGGUGCUGGGACAUUCCGGGUGCUGCUCUGGGAAAUGCUGCUCACGCUGCCGGCGGCUCCCUCAGGCAGGGCUUUGUAAAGCCCAGCAGAUGUGGUUUAGAAAAGUUCAGCUUUGAGGCACGCUCGCUCUUCAGACGGCUUCCGAGGAAAUUUGCACUUCAGUGGAUGUGCGGAAAAAUGGCGUUUUCAAAGUGAAAAUGAAAUGGAAACCGGCCUUCCCCCUCCCUCCCUUCCUCCCCCAGAGAAGCGGCGUUUGCAAAGUGGGGCCUCUGUUUUGAGAGAUUUGCAGCACACAGACGUCCUUCUUUCUGCUUCUUCCGCUUUGCUGUUCUUUUCUUUGCUUCCAUUUCCCCUAUUUUCUUUAUGUCUCGAGCCCAUUCCCAGGCAGCUCUCAGCUCCCCCUCCCUCAGCUCCUCAGUCCAUCCUACUCUUGUAGGGCGUAGGGUGUCAGGAGAGGGCUGCUGAAGGGUUGCCCAGUGUGUUAAAUCCUGUUAUUUUCCAUUUUCUUGGGGGUAAAAUGUGCUCAGAACUGAAACUCUCUUUAGAAACUUUCUGCUUUUUCCAUAAUUCAGGCCUUAUAAAUUAUUCCUGCUUCCCCAAGGCUGUGCCUGUGAGCCUUGUGUCCUGCCUUGCAUGGGAAGGAAAGGGAAUGGCUCCCCAGGAGCUGCUGGCUUACCUGGGAAAGGGGAGCCUGCUUGCACUGGCAGCUCCAUAAAAUCCUCCAAAUCCUCACAUCCUGCAGCAAAUCCUUCCUCUCUGGCUGAGGAGAUGAUGGGGGGGUCCUUUUGGGAAGUGGAUGUUCAGGACAAGGGGCAGUGGAUUCAAAUUCACAGAGGGCAGGGUAAGACGGGGUAUUGGGAAAAAUGAGGGAAAAUUUGGGAAAAACGAGGCACCGGUUACCAGAGAAACUGUGGAAGAGUCCAAGCCAGCCUGGACAGAGAGAGCUUGGAGCACCCUAGGCUAGUGAAAGCUGUCCCUGCCAUGGCAGGGGUGGCACUGGAUGGUCUUCAAGGUCCCUUCCAACCCAAACCAUUCCAUGAUGCUGCCUGCAGCAUUCCCGUGCCCACACAGCAGAUUUAGGGAAAAGAGCUUGUGCUGUGUGAACCUGUGUGUGUGUGAGAGCUCAGGCACGGUGUCCUGAGCAGGGACACCUCGGAGGGGGAUGCAGAGGGAGCACUGGAACACACAGAGAGGAGCAGAGGCCGUGGAGGAUGCUGGCAGCACAUCCCAGAUCCCGAAUCCCGGGCUGAGCCCUCAGGGAUGGUGUGAGGGAGGCCAGACCCACUCUGUGGGUCGGUGGCCACAAAACCCCCACAUCCACGCUGUGUGCGAGGGGCUGCUCGUUUGGGCUCGGCCGAGGCAGGAUCUCCUUUCAGGAGAGGAGAAGGGAGCAGAUGUCUCAUUCCCGGGCUCACAAUGCGGCCCUCCCGGCACGGCGAUCCAUCAGGGGCUCGGCACGGCCCCACAGCAAAGUGCCUGACACGCUUUUGCAGCGGGGCCAGGUUCUCACCACUUGUGAGCCUUGGUGCCCCUUGACAAAUAGCUCUUGGCUCUGGUUUUGUUCAGAGUCACGCUGGUGUCAAGCACGGGGCUCCCAUUCAAGUGCCCACCAACAGCGGCCCACAAAUCGCCAUUUUCUCCCCUUUUCUUGCUUUGUUUCCCCGUGACAGUCACUCAGGAAUUUAUUUUUUUUAUCUCAUUGGGUAUUUUUAAAGACAAUUUUCAAGGAACAGAGCAGCACCUCUUUAAUACAGGGUAUAAAAUGCCCUGGGAGUACAUGAGGUGAGGGAUUCCAGUUUGCAUGGUUGUGUUGCUGACACGACAUUUAAUUGCUUUUUUUUAUUUUUCCCUUUUUAAAGGCAAUUUUUCCAGCAAGUUGAUUUAUGGAGCUGACUGGCAAAGCCUUGAAUGCAUUGAGAAAUACUCAGACUCCUACAAUGGGCCAGUGCAUCAUUAAUGAAUGGUUCCUCUUUAAACUGGGAGCUGUGCUGGUAAAACCCACGGAAUUCAGUCGUGCUGCACAGUGCCACUGGGAUGUUCUGUGGAGAGCUUCUGGUCAGAAAACCUUGGGUUUAUAGCUGAGGAGUCCUUUGUAUCCCCUAGGCUGCAGCUUCGUGCUGUACCUCUCCAUCUGCAGUCCCCCUCUGACCUCAGCCAGUUCACUGUCUGCUCAGAGAGCAUUUUCCAUCACUUGAGCCUGGAAGGGGAGAGGAUUUAUGGAAUGGGGAGCACGAGGCACCAGCUCAGCACAUACCAGAGUGAGUAUGUAAGUGCUCACAGGUCGGGGAUGGAGCUACACAAGUGGUCUUGAUCAUCCUCAGGUCCAAGGGCCGAGCUGAGAACGUGCAGCACGGGUUGCACAAGAACAUUUCCAGCCUCUCUAAGGACAGUUCUCCUUCUGCUCUGGUCUUGCAUCACUUUCUAAUUAGUCUCAGCCUGUUAAUGGACUUAGAGCUGCCCAGCUGAACUCGUGUUGACAAUGCUGCAGGUUUGUUAUCUCCUUAUGGUCUUAGCCUCCAUUCCCUUCAAUCCUGCAAGUCCAUUAUGAUGUCUGUGACCUAUCAGGGCUUCUCUCUCCUUCUGACCUGCUGAUGUCCCCCCUGCUGCCAUCAUUAUGGAGGUUUUGGUGGCCCUUCCUGUGUUUUAAACUUUGUCUAGAGAUCAGCUUCCACCCCGGCCUUUAAAGUCAUGUCCUGCUUCUUUCCAGCCAGGUAAAGCCUGCAGGGAUCCUGUGGCACAUAAUGGGAGAGUCUCGCCUGGUAAUUACAAAGUCAGGAUCUGUAAUUAAAUUUUCUAUAAAGCUCCCAACCCCAAGGUGUGCCUUUAUCCCCUCUAUUAAUUAGCACAGGGAAGGGACGCUCCUGUCUAGAGGCACAGGACGAAAAUAGGAGCAGAGAGAAAGAGAACUGGCUCCUUUGAAUGAUAAAUAUUGUUCCCUUCAUGCCUUAAAUAAAAUGAGAGCUUGGCUAAAACCAGUGGGGUUUUAACUCUUGGAAGCACUGACUUAAAAAAGAAUUGGAGGAAAUAGUCCUGGAUAGGCAGCAGAGACCUCUUCCAGCAGAUUCCUGUCAUUCCAAGGCAAGCUCAGCAAUCACCUGUGUGAUUCUUGGGAAAUGUUUGUUUGACCUGUUUCUGGGACUGCUGAAAUGUUCUUUUUUUUUUUUUUUUUGCAAACAGGAGGCCCAGGAGCUCCCACAGUUCCUUGGGUUUGCGUGUUAACCCUCGUGAGCUGUGGCUUUGGGAAGACACCAAGAAUUGGAAGCGCUGUUAGCACAUCAUUAUUUGCUUUUAAAAAAAAUUUUUUUUGAUUAGCAACUUGGAAGCGGUUUAAAAACUCUUCCCUGAGAGGGACUGUCUGAGAAGGGUUUUUUCCCAAACCUUCAUUCGGAAUUGAUUAUCCAGUCCUAUUUACUGGAAGGAGAACUUGAUGUACCUCCAUAUAAAUCUACAGGCAGCAGGACUUGUGCUGCCAGAUUCAAAGGGAAGAGUCCCUUUGGGCUGAGGGCAAUAUCCAGCAAAAGCAGAUAGUGCCUGACAAAUCUUUUUAACAUUGAGCAUUCAAAGGUGGCUGGGCUGCAGAGCACAGCAACUGGAUAUCUGUAGGAUGCCUGCUUGAGGACCAUGCAGCUGUGCCAAAAAAAUGGGGAUUC
Long non-coding RNA from Passer domesticus (house sparrow), 5742 nucleotides. RefSeq lists it as uncharacterized. NCBI's taxonomy places the organism in Eukaryota, Metazoa, Chordata, Aves, Passeriformes, Passeridae. The transcript has 6 exons. The record is from RefSeq and is a predicted model, not a curated record.